RNAcentral lists this ribosomal RNA (1332 nucleotides) under Microbacterium sp. RNAcentral describes it as "bacterial SSU rRNA". It matches the Rfam family "Bacterial small subunit ribosomal RNA", at positions 80 to 1424 of the family's 1533-position model. Lineage: Bacteria; Bacillati; Actinomycetota; Actinomycetes; Micrococcales; Microbacteriaceae. The record is from RNAcentral. RNAcentral also lists the same sequence under 1 other name.
UGCUCUGUGGGAUCAGUGGCGAACGGGUGAGUAACACGUGAGCAACCUGCCCCUGACUCUGGGAUAAGCGCUGGAAACGGCGUCUAAUACUGGAUAUGUGACGUGACCGCAUGGUCUGCGUCUGGAAAGAAUUUCGGUUGGGGAUGGGCUCGCGGCCUAUCAGCUUGUUGGUGAGGUAAUGGCUCACCAAGGCGUCGACGGGUAGCCGGCCUGAGAGGGUGACCGGCCACACUGGGACUGAGACACGGCCCAGACUCCUACGGGAGGCAGCAGUGGGGAAUAUUGCACAAUGGGCGCAAGCCUGAUGCAGCAACGCCGCGUGAGGGACGACGGCCUUCGGGUUGUAAACCUCUUUUAGCAGGGAAGAAGCGAAAGUGACGGUACCUGCAGAAAAAGCGCCGGCUAACUACGUGCCAGCAGCCGCGGUAAUACGUAGGGCGCAAGCGUUAUCCGGAAUUAUUGGGCGUAAAGAGCUCGUAGGCGGUUUGUCGCGUCUGCUGUGAAAUCCGGAGGCUCAACCUCCGGCCUGCAGUGGGUACGGGCAGACUAGAGUGCGGUAGGGGAGAUUGGAAUUCCUGGUGUAGCGGUGGAAUGCGCAGAUAUCAGGAGGAACACCGAUGGCGAAGGCAGAUCUCUGGGCCGUAACUGACGCUGAGGAGCGAAAGGGUGGGGAGCAAACAGGCUUAGAUACCCUGGUAGUCCACCCCGUAAACGUUGGGAACUAGUUGUGGGGUCCAUUCCACGGAUUCCGUGACGCAGCUAACGCAUUAAGUUCCCCGCCUGGGGAGUACGGCCGCAAGGCUAAAACUCAAAGGAAUUGACGGGGACCCGCACAAGCGGCGGAGCAUGCGGAUUAAUUCGAUGCAACGCGAAGAACCUUACCAAGGCUUGACAUAUACGAGAACGGGCCAGAAAUGGUCAACUCUUUGGACACUCGUAAACAGGUGGUGCAUGGUUGUCGUCAGCUCGUGUCGUGAGAUGUUGGGUUAAGUCCCGCAACGAGCGCAACCCUCGUUCUAUGUUGCCAGCACGUAAUGGUGGGAACUCAUGGGAUACUGCCGGGGUCAACUCGGAGGAAGGUGGGGAUGACGUCAAAUCAUCAUGCCCCUUAUGUCUUGGGCUUCACGCAUGCUACAAUGGCCGGUACAAAGGGCUGCAAUACCGCGAGGUGGAGCGAAUCCCAAAAAGCCGGUCCCAGUUCGGAUUGAGGUCUGCAACUCGACCUCAUGAAGUCGGAGUCGCUAGUAAUCGCAGAUCAGCAACGCUGCGGUGAAUACGUUCCCGGGUCUUGUACACACCGCCCGUCAAGUCAUGAAAGUCGGUAACACCUGA